GACGAACCGUCCUAACGUUGUUCGGAAUCACUGGGCUUAAAGGGCGCGUAGGCGGCUUGCCAAGUCAGGGGUGAAAUCCUGCAGCUUAACUGUAGAAGGGCCUUUGAUACUGGCGAGCUCGAGGGAGGUAGGGGUAUGUGGAACUUCCGGUGGAGCGGUGAAAUGCGUUGAUAUCUGGAGGAACACCGGUGGCGAAGGCGGCAUCCUGGACCGGUAUUGACGCUGAGGCGCGAAAGCCAGGGGAGCAAACGGG
This 253-nucleotide ribosomal RNA is filed under the name uncultured bacterium. RNAcentral's name for it is "partial 16S ribosomal RNA". It matches the Rfam family "Bacterial small subunit ribosomal RNA", at positions 524 to 776 of the family's 1533-position model. The record is from RNAcentral.